Molecule: ribosomal RNA, 253 nt
Filed under: uncultured prokaryote
Description: partial 16S ribosomal RNA
Rfam family: Bacterial small subunit ribosomal RNA
Source: RNAcentral
ACGUAGGCAGCAAGCGUUGUUCGGAGUUACUGGGCGUAAAGGGUGUGUAGGCGGUUUGGUAAGUCUGGUGUGAAAUCUCCCGGCUCAACUGGGAGGGUGCGCCGGAAACUGCCGGACUCGAGUGCGGGAGAGGAGAGUGGAAUUCCAGGUGUAGCGGUGAAAUGCGUAGAUAUCUGGAGGAACACCGGUGGCGAAGGCGGCAUCCUGGACCAAUACUGACGCUGAGGAGCGAAAGCCAGGGGAGCAAACGGGA